This 76-nucleotide transfer RNA is filed under the name Massilia sp. H6. Its description in RNAcentral is "tRNA-Val". It matches the Rfam family "tRNA". From Rfam's summary of the family: Transfer RNA (tRNA) molecules are approximately 80 nucleotides in length. Their secondary structure includes four short double-helical elements and three loops (D, anti-codon, and T loops). Further hydrogen bonds mediate the characteristic L-shaped molecular structure. tRNAs have two regions of fundamental functional importance: the anti-codon, which is responsible for specific mRNA codon recognition, and the 3' end, to which the tRNAs corresponding amino acid is attached (by aminoacyl-tRNA synthetases). tRNAs cope with the degeneracy of the genetic code in two manners: having more than one tRNA (with a specific anti-codon) for a particular amino acid; and 'wobble' base-pairing, i.e. permitting non-standard base-pairing at the 3rd anti-codon position. Lineage: Bacteria; Pseudomonadati; Pseudomonadota; Betaproteobacteria; Burkholderiales; Oxalobacteraceae. The record is from RNAcentral.
GGGCGCUUAGCUCAGUUGGUAGAGCGCAUCCCUUACACGGAUUAGGUCGGGAGUUCGAGCCUCUCAGCGCCCACCA